GAUGAACGCUAGCGGCAGGCCUAAUACAUGCAAGUCGAACGAGAUUAGUAGCAAUACUAUGAAAGUGGCGCACGGGUGCGUAACACGUAUGCAAUCUACCUUUAAUUGGAGAAUAGCCUCGAGAAAUCGGGAUUAAUACUCCAUAACAUUAUGAAGUGGCAUCACUUUAUAAUUAAACCUCCGGGGAUUAAAGAUGAGCAUGCGCAACAUUAGCUAGUUGGUAAGGUAAUGGCUUACCAAGGCUACGAUGUUUAGGGGGUCUGAGAGGAUGAUCCCCCACACUGGUACUGAGACACGGACCAGACUCCUACGGGAGGCAGCAGUAGGGAAUAUUGGGCAAUGGAGGCAACUCUGACCCAGCCAUGCCGCGUGCAGGAUGACGGCCCUCUGGGUUGUAAACUGCUUUUAUACGGGAAUAAAUCUCGCUACGUGUAGUGAGUUGAAUGUACUGUAAGAAUAAGGAUCGGCUAACUCCGUGCCAGCA
Molecule: ribosomal RNA, 484 nt
Filed under: uncultured bacterium
Lineage: Bacteria
Description: bacterial SSU rRNA
Rfam family: Bacterial small subunit ribosomal RNA
Source: RNAcentral